Long non-coding RNA from Ipomoea nil (Japanese morning glory), 141 nucleotides. RefSeq lists it as uncharacterized. NCBI's taxonomy places the organism in Eukaryota, Viridiplantae, Streptophyta, Magnoliopsida, Solanales, Convolvulaceae. The record is from RefSeq and is a predicted model, not a curated record. The transcript is spliced from 3 exons.
AAUAGUUGUUAGUUGAUUGAGUUACUAAGUUUGAUUAUUUGAUAGUAUUGGCUGAUUGUAGAAAUAUGUUUGGUCAAUUAGUUGUUAGGUGAUAGCUCAUUAUAUGAAAAAUAACUUUAUUAAAAAGCUGUGUUGAGCACC